AGAGUUUGAUCCCUGGCUCAUGAUGAACGCUAGCGGCAGGCUUAACACAUGCAAGUCGAGGGGUAACAGGGAAAAGCUUGCUUUUCCGCUGACGACCGGCGCACGGGUGCGUAACGCGUAUAGAACCUACCUUUUACUGAGGGAUAGCCUUUAGAAAUGAAGAUUAAUACCUCAUAGUAUUUUAGAUUGGCAUCGAUUUAAAAUUAGAGAUUUAUUGGUAAAAGAUGGCUAUGCGUCCUAUUAGUUAGUUGGUGAGGUAACGGCUCACCAAGACAGCGAUAGGUAGGGGUCCUGAGAGGGAGAUCCCCCACACUGGUACUGAGACACGGACCAGACUCCUACGGGAGGCAGCAGUGAGGAAUAUUGGACAAUGGGCGAGAGCCUGAUCCAGCCAUGCCGCGUGCAGGAAGAAUGCCCUAUGGGUUGUAAACUGCUUUUAUACGGGAAGAAACACCCCCUCGUGAGGGGGCUUGACGGUACCGUAAGAAUAAGCACCGGCUAACUCCGUGCCAGCAGCCGCGGUAAUACGGAGGGUGCAAGCGUUAUCCGGAAUCAUUGGGUUUAAAGGGUCCGCAGGCGGUCAAUUAAGUCAGAGGUGAAAUCCCAUAGCUUAACUAUGGAACUGCCUUUGAUACUGGUUGACUUGAGUUAUACGGAAGUAGAUAGAAUGUGUAGUGUAGCGGUGAAAUGCAUAGAUAUUACACAGAAUACCGAUUGCGAAGGCAGUCUACUACGUAUAUACUGACGCUCAUGGACGAAAGCGUGGGGAGCGAACGGGAUUAGAUACCCCGGUAGUCCACGCCGUAAACGAUGGACACUAGUUGUUGGGAUUUAUCUCAGUGACUAAGCGAAAGUGAUAAGUGUCCCACCUGGGGAGUACGGUCGCAAGAUUGAAACUCAAAGGAAUUGACGG
This 913-nucleotide ribosomal RNA is filed under the name uncultured marine bacterium. RNAcentral describes it as "bacterial SSU rRNA". It matches the Rfam family "Bacterial small subunit ribosomal RNA", at positions 8 to 916 of the family's 1533-position model. The record is from RNAcentral.